This 286-nucleotide long non-coding RNA is filed under the name Vigna radiata. RNAcentral describes it as "long non-coding RNA (VRAD_LNC009049)". Lineage: Eukaryota; Viridiplantae; Streptophyta; Magnoliopsida; Fabales; Fabaceae. The record is from RNAcentral.
AAUAUAUGAUAUAUGAAUGUAUGAAUAUAGGAAUAUAGGAAUGAAUUAUGUUUGAUGAUUCUAUGAAUAGAUGGAAGAAGGAUUAAACUUGUCGUAUUUGGAGGGUGAAAAUAUAGAUGAUGAUGUGGUUGGUGUUGACUUUAAAAUAGUCGCAAUGCUACAUCAACAUGUACAGAAAACCACGUCUAUGGCUGCAGUAACAAUGUUAUGCAUUGUUUCGUAUGCCUUGAACAUAUUGAAUUUGUUAUCGAGUGAUCCAAGUAGUGAUAGCAAUUUCCUUCCCGAC